Molecule: long non-coding RNA, 1411 nt
Filed under: Homo sapiens (human)
Lineage: Eukaryota; Metazoa; Chordata; Mammalia; Primates; Hominidae
Description: long non-coding RNA NONHSAT220131.1
Source: RNAcentral
UACCUCCUGCAAUCAGUUCUCCUCAAAAUUCACAUUCACAUUCCACUCCUUCCUCAUCUCUUCGACCAAAUAGCCCUUCUCCUACUGCAUUAGCAUUUGGGGACCACCCUAUUGUACAACCAAAGAAGUUAUCCUUUAAAAUUAUUCAGACUGAUCUCACAAUCCUGAAAUUAGCAGCAUUAGAAAGUAAUAAAAUCCAGGACCUGGAAAAGAAGGAAGGAUGUAUAGAUUAUUUGCUCAGGGCUAACCGUGAUCUCAGAUGGCAAAUAGAUGAACAAAAAAAAUUACUUGAAAAAUACAAAGAAUGAUUAAAUAAGUGCAUAUAAAUGAGCAAGAAACUUCUUUUGAAAAGAGUACACAAGAAAAACUGUCAGAGAGAAGAGUAUGCAAGAUUGAUUGCGUCUCAGGCACUUUACAACAGUUAGACAUGGCACUUCAUUUACUGAAUAAUGGAUAGAUGGUUUUGCAUUUCAGACUCUUGUGAAGCAACAAGAAUGGAAUAUUAUGAACAGGAAGAAAUGUUCAAACUUAGACAAGGACAUCUCAGAAAAGAAGAGGCAGAAAUCCAAGCAGAACUUGAACGUUUGGAAAGAGUCAGAAAUCUUCACAUACGUGAGCUGAGAAGAAUAAACAAUGAAGAUAAUUCACAAUUCAAAGAUCACCCAAUGUUAAAUGAAAGAUAUUUAUUACUUCAUCUGCUUGGUAGAGGUGGCUUUAGUGAAGUGUAUAAGGCUUUUGACCUUUAUGAACAAAGCUAUGCUUCUGUGAAGCUACAUCAACUUAAUAAAAGCUGGAGAGAUGAGAAAAAAGAAAACUACUACAAACAUGCCUGCAGUAUAGAAUACACAAAGAACUGGAUCACCCCAGAAUAGUUAAACUCGAUGAUUAUUUCUCCUUGGAUACAGAUAUAUUUUGUACAGUGUUAGAAUACUGUGAAGGCAAUGACUUGGAUUUCUAUCUGAAGCAACACAAGCUAAUGUCAGAGAAAGAAGCUGAGUCUAUUGUAAUGCAGAUUGUAAAUGCACUAAGAUAUCCCAAUGAGAUCAACCCCCAUUAUACAUUAUGAUCUUAAGCCAGGAAACAUCCUUUUGGUAGACAGAACAGCAUGUGGUGAAACCAAAAUCACUGAUUUUGGUCUGUCCAAGAUUAUGGAUGAUGAUAGCUAUGGUGCAGAUGGAAUGAAUCUACCUCCUGAGUGUUUUGUAGUUGGAAAAGAGGCAGCAAAGAUUUCCGAUUUCCAACAAGAUUAAUGUGUGGUCAGUUGGAGUCAUCUUCUUUCAGUGUCUUUAUGGUAGAAAGCCAUUUGGUCACAAUCAAUCUCAACAAGAUAUUCUUCAAGAAAAUACAAUAUUAAAAGCCACAGAUGUCCAGUUUCCUGUAAAACCAGUUGUAAGCAGUGAACCCGAGGCCU